AAAUUUUUGGUGUAGUUUCCAUGGCAACAUGAUAGUUCCAAUGAUUGCCAAAAUCAUCCAAAACCAGUAUAUGCCUGGCACCUACAUUGUUUUAAAAUAUAAUGAUUCUAAGUUAAAGCAACUCCAAAUAAUUCAUUAAAACCAUAAACUGGAAUUUUUCACAAUUGUUCCGUUUCCAUGGUAACGGCAGCCAUUUUUAUGGUCUUAAGACCUACUGCAACCCGGAAUUUUGUGUUCCUCAUUAUAGUUAACUAGCAUUAAGAUUGGUUCCAUUGGCUCCGAGAAAACUGCCGGACAAAAUAGGUGGAAGAAAAAUAAUAAUAAUACAGAAAAAGAAACAGAGGAAAAGCAAUAUGUCACCCGACAUUGUCGAUCGGGUGACAUAAUAAUAAGUAAAAAAAGAAACGUAGAAUAACAAUACGUCACCCCAACUCCGUUGAGGGUGCCAUAACAAAAAGAAACGUAGAAUAACAAUAUGUCACCCAAACUCCGUUUAGGGUGCCAUAAUAAUGAUAAUAAAAGACAAAACAAA
RNAcentral lists this long non-coding RNA (532 nucleotides) under Mytilus galloprovincialis (Mediterranean mussel). Lineage: Eukaryota; Metazoa; Mollusca; Bivalvia; Mytilida; Mytilidae. The record is from RNAcentral.